GAUGAACGCUGGCGGCGUGCCUAAUACAUGCAAGUCGAGCGAACAGACGAGGAGCUUGCUCCUCUGACGUUAGCGGCGGACGGGUGAGUAACACGUGGAUAACCUCCCUAUAAGACUGGGAUAACUUCGGGAAACCGGCGCUAAUACCGGAUAAUCUAUUGAACCGCAUGGUUCAAUAGUGAAAGACGGUUUUGCUGUCUCUUCUCGAUGGAUCCGCGCCGCAUUAGCUAGUUGGUAAGGUAACGGCUUACCAAGGCAACGAUGCGUAGCCGAACUGAGAGGGUGAUCGGCCACACUGGAACUGAGACACGGUCCAGACUCCUAAGGGAGGCAGCAGUAGGGAAUCGUACGCAAUGGGCGAAAGACUGACGGAGCAACGCCGCGUGAGUGAUGAAGGUCUUCGGAUCGUAAAAAUCUGUUAUUAGGGAAGAACAAAUGUGUAAGUAACUAUGCACGUCUUGACGGUACCUAAUCAGAAAGCAACGGCUAACUACGUG
This 497-nucleotide ribosomal RNA is filed under the name uncultured bacterium. RNAcentral describes it as "partial 16S ribosomal RNA". It matches the Rfam family "Bacterial small subunit ribosomal RNA", at positions 28 to 507 of the family's 1533-position model. The record is from RNAcentral.